Betta splendens (Siamese fighting fish) is the source of this 1279-nucleotide long non-coding RNA. RefSeq lists it as uncharacterized. The record is from RefSeq and is a predicted model, not a curated record. NCBI's taxonomy places the organism in Eukaryota, Metazoa, Chordata, Actinopteri, Anabantiformes, Osphronemidae. The transcript is spliced from 4 exons.
AAGCCUGUGGUACAUAGCCUAGUUGUAAAGAUUGGUUGAUUUGAUUUAAUAUGGACGAGCUGAUUAAAGGUAGAACUUCUUUGAGUAAUCUGGUUGGGAUUGAAUCUAAAAGACAAGUGGACGACUUGGAAGAGUUAAUUAUUGCGGUUAAGUCCAUAUGAGUUAUGGGGAAGAAGCUGUCGAGGUAACACAGAGGAUUUAAUAAAUUUAAAGUUGAUGGAUCUAGACAGUGCUUUCUGUCAUUUGGAAGAAGUCGCUGCUGAAUGUUUUUUCUAAUGAUGAUAAUUUUAUUAGUAAAGUAGUUCAUGAAGUCAUUGCUGCUGAGAUUUAAGGGGAUAGUAGACUCAACACAGCUAUGACUCUUUGUCAGCCUGGUUACAGUGCUGAAAAGGAACCUGGGGUUGUUUUUGUUUUUCUCAAUUAGGGAGGAAUAAUAUGUUUUUCUAGCAGCACAAAGUGCUUUUUUAUAUUUCAUUAGACUGUCCAUCCAUGCAAUUCAGUUUACAUUUAUUUUGUUGGAACGCCACUGCCUUUCUAGUUGUCUGGUCCUGUGCUUUAGGCUGUGGAUCUCUGAGUUAUACCACGGAGCUAACCUCCUCUGAUUCACUGUCUUCUUCUUCAGAGGAGCCACUGUGUCUAACAUUGUACGUAGAGAAGCUGCAGCAUCAUCUACAAGACAGUCAACCUGUUCAUAAGGAUUAAGCCAAAGGGAAGAAGGCAGAGGCUAGAACAACUGGUGUAGGAGCUGCACCUCCACGCACUGAGGCGAAGGCCCUCAGCCUGAACACUGGCUGAAGGGAUUCCUGGAGGGAGUUCAUCAGAACCAGUCACUCCCCAGGAUACAAGUGCAUCUGUAAAAUAUUCUGAUGGUAAUAUGUGAAUCUUCCUGUCACAACAGAAGCCCAGGCUGUUAGUGUGGAAGAACAGCAGGAGGAGGGUCCGUCACAUUCUGCUGCACAGAUGCACACAGUUCAGUGAUGUUCAGUAAAUGCCAGAGUUCAAUUCUGUAAAAGUAAUGAGGAACUAUGUCAUGUAACUCUAAAUGCUCUGUAUUUUCAGUUACCGGUUAAGGAGUUGUAUAAACUAAAUCUCAAGGAAAUGUUAUACUUGGACCACCAGAUUGAAAAGACCAUCCAUCCAUCCAUUUUCCAAACUGCUUAUUCCCUAAUGCGGGCUCACGGGGGUGCUGGAGCCUAACCCAGCUGACUAUGGGCGAGAGGCAGGGUACACCCUGGACGGGUCGCCAGUCCAUCGCAGGGCAACACAUAGACAGACAACC